AAAGCUUUUUCCUGAGGAAAUUCAUAUGGUUUGCUGUCAUUGUAGGGCGUUGUAACGCACCUAUGAACUUCAACUCCUUAAAAAUGUAUCAUUUAUUUGUUUUUGCAAACAAAUAAUUUGUUGAGGCCUACAAAACCCAGGAUUUUUCUGAUAAAGGAAACUGAAAAGGCAACAGUAAGCCAGUCCUACAAAGCUUACAUAUUUACCAAAAGGCUUGUAUGGAAACUACAUUCUGAAUGACUACGGAGAAUAAGGUACCUGAAUCAGAGUUUGAGGGAAGUGUCUCGAUCUAUUUGGGAUUUGGAGAUGUUAUUGAUCCAAAGCACCAGCUAGAGUGCCAGUACAAGUUGUACUCUGGCGUGUGAGUGUCUUCUGCAAGGCUGGAGUCCUGCCAGGCUCCCCUGAACUUAUCUUCUGCAAACUUUUCCCCUUUGUGGCCUGAGGCUGACGGCUCUGCCCGGCUCCCUGAAGUAGCUGGGUGCUUUUCCAGAAGAGAUCUGACACACUGUGGACUCACCUUUAGCUUUGGCUGAGGGCAGAGAUGCUGCUAUGACUGGCUGAAUAUUUGAGAAGCCAAGCAGGCUGGAACUGCCGUUUUGGUACUUACGUAAGG
RNAcentral lists this long non-coding RNA (613 nucleotides) under Apteryx owenii (little spotted kiwi). RNAcentral describes it as "lncRNA (ENSAOWG00000002449.1)". The record is from RNAcentral. Lineage: Eukaryota; Metazoa; Chordata; Aves; Apterygiformes; Apterygidae.